UGGGGAAUAUUGCACAAUGGGCGAAAGCCUGAUGCAGCAACGCCGCGUGAAUGAUGAAGGCCUUCGGGUUGUAAAGCUCUGUCUUCUGGGACGAUAAUGACGGUACCAGAGGAGGAAGCUACGGCUAACUACGUGCCAGCAGCCGCGGUAAUACGUAGGUGGCAAGCGUUGUCCGGAUUUACUGGGCGUAAAGGAUGCGUAGGCGGAUACUUAAGUCAGAUGUGAAAAUCCCGGGCUUAACUUGGGAACUGCAUUUGAAACUGGGUAUCUAGAGUGCGGGAGAGGAAAGUGGAAUUCCUAGUGUAGCGGUGAAAUGCGUAGAGAUUAGGAAGAACACCAGUGUCGAAGGCGACUUUCUGGACCGUAACUGACGCUGAGGCAUGCAAGCGUGGGGAGCA
RNAcentral lists this ribosomal RNA (398 nucleotides) under uncultured bacterium. Its description in RNAcentral is "bacterial SSU rRNA". It matches the Rfam family "Bacterial small subunit ribosomal RNA", at positions 355 to 770 of the family's 1533-position model. The record is from RNAcentral.